This 257-nucleotide unclassified non-coding RNA is filed under the name uncultured fungus. RNAcentral's name for it is "sequence contains ITS1". Lineage: Eukaryota; Fungi. The record is from RNAcentral.
GUAUUGAUUGCGUGUUAUCGCAAAAAUGGGGGUCAUUCUACACUUUUAAAAUAGGGGUUUGUGUGAAAACGCAAGCCCCCCUCCCGGAUCGGUUUGAUCCCAAAGGGUUGCCCACGCGGUGGUGCACAAAAGGGUGAGAUGGAUUUUAUGCGAGAGGACAUGCUCUGGCGUGCACGACUUUAAAGUCAGCGACAGCCCUCGCAUGCCCUCACACAUUUUGUACGAUAAUGAUCCUUCCGCAGGUUCACCUACGGAAA